This 1426-nucleotide ribosomal RNA is filed under the name Myxobolus sp. RNAcentral describes it as "SSU rRNA". It matches the Rfam family "Eukaryotic small subunit ribosomal RNA", at positions 1 to 1308 of the family's 1831-position model. The record is from RNAcentral. Lineage: Eukaryota; Metazoa; Cnidaria; Myxozoa; Bivalvulida; Myxobolidae.
GUGUGUGUGUCUGCCAGUGCGCAUACGCUCUUUUUAAAGACUAAGCCAUGCACGUGCUAGUACAUACAUUUUAAAUGUGAGACUGCGGACGGCUCAGUAAAUCAGUUAUAAUCUGCUCGAAUGUAAUGGUUAUUGGAUAACCGUGGGAAAUCUAGAGCUAAUACAUGUAAUUUAGGGUACGAGCAAUCGUAUCCAUGGCAUUUAUUAGAUAAUGACCAACCGUAGAUGCAAAUUUACGUGGUGAAUCUAGAUAACUGUGCAGAUCGUAUGGCCUUGAGCUGACGACAAUUCGAUUGAAUUUCUGCCCUAUCAACUUUUGUCGGUAGUGUAGUGGACUACCGAGGUUUUUACGGGUGACGGGGGAUCAGGGUUCGAUUCCGGAGAGGGAGCCUGAGAAACGGCUACCACAUCCAAGGAAGGCAGCAGGCGCGCAAAUUACCCAAUCCAGACAAUGGGAGGUGGUGACGAAAAGUACCGGAUGACGAUCUAUGAUUGUCAAUCUGGAAUGGAAUCAAUUUAAGCAAUUGAUUGAGUAACUACUGGAGGGCAAGUCUGGUGCCAGCAGCCGCGGUAAUUCCAGCUCCAGUAGCGUAUCUCAAAGUUGCUGCGCUUAAAACGCUCGUAGUUGGAUCACAGACUAUUCAUCGGUGGGUUAUGAAGUUUGUAUCAAAUUUAACGAGACAUUUGUGUGUCAUCACACAGUUGAGGAGUUGAAUGAUACCACUUUGUGCCGUAAGCUGGUGGAUAGUAAUUGCGCGUGAGGAUAGGCAUUGACCUUGAGUGAGUUGGUGCUUGUGUCUCACGGAGUGUGCCUUGAGUAAAUCAGAGUGCUUAAAGCAGGCUUUACGCUUGAAUGUUAUAGCAUGGAACGAACAAUCGUGUAUGGUGUAUACUGGCAAUGAUUAGUUGGACGUAGUCCGACGUCAUCAGUAUACGACACCGACCACCAGUUACGGAUGUUGGUUCCGUAUUGGGGUAUAGAUUAAGAGGAGCGGUUGGGGGCAUUGGUAUUUGGCAGCGAGAGGUGAAAUUCUUGGACCUGCCAACGACUAACAAAUGCGAAGGCAUUUGUCCAGACCGUAUCCAUUAAUCAAGAACGAUAGUGAAAGGUUCGAAGAUGAUCAGAUACCGUCGUAGUUUUCACUGUAAACUAUGCCGACCCGGGAUCAGUUUGGAGCUAUGUUCCAUGCUCGGAGUUGGUCCCCCUGGGAAACCUAAAGUUUUUCGGUUGCGGGGGGAGUAUGGUCGCAAGGCUGAAACUUAAAGGAAUUGACGGAAGGGCACCACCAGGGGUGGAGCCUGCGGCUUAAUUUGACUCAACACGGGACAACUUACCAGGUCCGAACAUCCGAAGGAUACACAGACUGAUAGAUCUUUGUUGAUUGGGUGAUGAGUGGUGCAUGGCCCGUUCUUAGUUCGUGGAGUG